CACGGGGGGAGCAAGCGUUGUUCGGAAUCACUGGGCGUAAAGGGCGUGUAGGCGGUCAAGUAAGUGGAAUGUGAAAUCCCCCGGCUUACCCGGGGACCGGCAUCCCAUACUGCUUGGCUUGAGUACGGGAGAGGAUGUGGGAAUUCCUGGUGUAGCGGUGAAAUGCGUAGAUAUCAGGAGGAACACCGGUGGCGAAGGCGCACAUCUGGCCCGAUACUGACGCUGAAGCGCGAAAGCUAGGGGAGCAAACGGG
This 253-nucleotide ribosomal RNA is filed under the name uncultured bacterium. Its description in RNAcentral is "partial 16S ribosomal RNA". It matches the Rfam family "Bacterial small subunit ribosomal RNA", at positions 524 to 776 of the family's 1533-position model. The record is from RNAcentral.